This 7298-nucleotide long non-coding RNA is filed under the name Salmo salar (Atlantic salmon). RNAcentral describes it as "lncRNA (ENSSSAG00000096682.1)". Lineage: Eukaryota; Metazoa; Chordata; Actinopteri; Salmoniformes; Salmonidae. The record is from RNAcentral.
CACACCUUCUCCUCCCAUAAACACACCUUCUCCUCCCAUAAACACACCUUCUCCUCCCAUAAACACACCUUCUCCCUCCCACAUAGGGCUGUUGUGGUGACUGUAUUACCGCCACACCAAAAGUCAUGAGUCAUGACCACAGUAAAAUUGAAUGGUAAAUCUCCUCUUAUGUACUCUGGACAUGUUAGACAUACCCAACUCGCUAAUGACCGUCAGGUCCUAAUGGCCUGGUACUCAGGGCUCUAUUGUUCCUCCAUCAGGUCCUAAUGGCCUGGUACUCAGGGCUCUAUGGUCCCUCCAUCAGGUCCUAAUGGUCUGGUACUCAGGGCUCUAUUGUUCCUCCAUCAGGUCCUAAUGGCCUGGUACUCAGGGCUCUAUGGUCCCUCCAUCAGGUCCUAAGGGCCUGGUACUCAGGGCUCUAUUGUUCCUCUAACCACCUUUGAAGUCAAUGCAAAUGCAAUUUAAAAUCGCAUAAAAAACUGAUCAUCAAAACAGUACCGUACUUUUAAAACUCACCUCAUCUGUGAUGAUGAAUUUGAAGAAAGAUGUUCGACAACAGGUUGAAACGGAGAGGAAAACAUGGUCCUUGUGGACGCAAAAGUACAAAUGGAUAGUUAGCUAGCUAACUUAUUGUAACGGUAACUAAAGUUGGGCUUGUAUAUGUGAUGGAUUGCAGACCAGGCAGUGUGCAGUAGACUGUAUAGUUUGCAGUACGGUUAGCCUAGCUAGCGAGCUAGCUACCGCUGUUAGCCACCUAGCAUGCUAACUCGUAGAGAACAAUGGGGCCACCAUUUAGGUGUUAGCCUAGGCUAACGGUUAGCCUAGCUGUUAGCCACCUAGCUCGUUGAGAACAAUGGGGCCACCAUUUAGGUGUUAGCCUAGGCUAACGGUUAGCCUAGCUGUUAGCCACCUAGCAUGCUAGCUUCGUUGAGAAACACUCAGAAGUAUAUUAGAGCUGAUUAUAGACCUACUAUAUACGAGGCCAAGACCGGAACAUCUGAAUUAAAAUAACGAUUGUUCCCUAAUACAAUACAUAGCCUAUUGCAUAUUAUGCACUUUAAUGAUUUAAGAUGUCUUUGGUACAUAAUUUGGUCUAUCCUAUUCUCCUACAUUAAAACACACACUAGUAACGGCCUUUGAAUGUGGACUGUAUUAUUAUGCAUACUGGGUGGACUGGUUAAAUGUAUAGGCUUAGGUCAUGUUGCUGCUUCAUUGAUUGUGCAAGGUGGCUUACAAUAAUUAUUACUUACUUAUAAUUAUUGUGAAUUUGUAAUUGAUUUUUAAUUAGCCUGGUAAAAAAAAGGGCUUUUUUUUUUAUACUUUCAUAAUUAAUCGGCUGACACAUUACCUUUAAUAACUGGAGAAUAUAUCUCACCACUGUGUUUUUCCCAUCUCCUCUCUUCUUCAUUCCUUUCUCAAGGAUGUAGAGAGAGAGAGGUGCUGUCACCAGCUUCAUCCACUAUGUUUCGUUGGUUGGAGGGCCCAUACAGAGUACUGGGUAGAUGUAGGAUCAGGGUUGGAGAGCCCAUACAGAGUACUGGGUAGCUGCAGGAACAAGGUUGGAGGGCCCAUACAGAGUACUGGGUAGCUGCAGGAACAAGGUUGGAGGGCCCAUACAGAGUACUGGGUAGCUGCAGGAACAAGGUUGGAGGGCCCAUACAGAGUACUGGGUAGCUGCAGGAACAAGGUUGGAGGGCCCAUACAGAGUACUGGGUAGCUGCAGGAACAAGGUAGGAGGGCCCAUACAGAGUACUGGGUAGAUGUAGGAUCAGGGUAGGAGAGCCCAUGGCAUACAGAGUACUGGGUAGAUGAACAGGGUAGGAGGGCCCAUGGCAUACAGAGUACUGGGUAGCUGCAGGAACAAGGUAGGAGAGCCCAUACAGAGUACUGGGUAGCUGCAGGGUAGGAGAGCCCAUGGCAUACAGAGUACUGGGUAGCUGCAGGAACAGGGUAGGAGUGCCCAUACAGAGUACUGGGUAGCUGCAGGAACAGGGUAGGAGAGCACAUGGCAUACAGAGUACUGGGUAGCUGCAGGAACAAGGUAGGAGAGCCCAUGACAUACAGAGUACUGGGUAGAUGAACAGGGUAGGAGGGCCCAUGGCAUACAGAGUACUGGGUAGCUGCAGGAACAAGGUAGGAGAGCCCAUACAGAGUACUGGGUAGCUGCAGGGUAGGAGAGCCCAUGGCAUACAGAGUACUGGGUAGCUGCAGGAACAGGGUAGUAGAGCACAUGGCAUACAGAGUACUGGGUAGGUGCAGGAACAGGGUAGGAGUGCCCAUACAGAGUACUGGGUAGCUGCAGGAACAAGGUAGGAGAGCCCAUGACAUACAGAGUACUGGGUAGAUACAGGAACAGGGUAGGAGAGCCCAUGGCAUACAGAGUACUGGGUAGCUGAAGGAACAGGGUAGGAGGGCCCAUGGCAUACAGAGUACUGGUUAGCUGCAGGAACAGGGUAGGAGAGCCCAUGGCAUACAGAGUACUGGGUAGCUGCAGGAACAAGGUUGGGAGAGCCCAUACAGAGUACUGGGUAGAUACAGUAACAGGGUAGGAGAGCCCAUACAGAGUACUGGGUAGCUGCAGGAACAGGGUAGGAGAGCCCAUACAGAGUACUGGGUAGCUACAGGAACAGGGUAGGAGUGCCCAUGGCAUACAGAGUACUGGGUAGCUGAAGGAACAAGGUAGGAGGGCCCAUGGCAUACAGAGUACUGGUUAGCUGCAGGAACAGGGUAGGAGAGCCCAUGGCAUACAGAGAACUGGGUAGCUGCAGGAACAAGGUUGGGAGAGCCCAUGGCAUACAGAGUACUGGGUAGGAACAGGGUUGGAGUGCCCAUGGCAUACAGAGCACUGGGUAGCUACAGGAACAGGGUAGGAGAGCCCAUACAGAGUACUGGGUGGAAUAUCACCUGUCGCGCAGCGAGAGGCUGGGUGCUCCUCAAACAGUGGUUGAUUUGUGGAGUGAAAUGUGUUCCCAGACAUUUCUAUAUGGAACCAAGCAGUGUUGAUGGGUGUCACUGAAAAGAGGAUCCCAGCUGCUACGCUGCCAGCUGCUACCCUGCCAGCUGAUACUCUGCCAGCUGCUACGCUGCCAGCUGCUACUCUGCCAGCUGCUACGCUGCCAGCUGCUACUCUGCCAGCUGCUACGCUGCCAGCUGCUACUCUGCCAGCUGCUACUCUGCCAGCUGCUACCCUGCCUGCUGCUACUCUGCCAGCUUCUACCCUGUCAGCUGCUACCCUGCCAGCUGCUACUCUGCCAUCUGCUACCCUGCCAGCUGCUACUCUGCCAGCUUCUACCCUGCCAGCUGCUACUCUGCCAUCUGCUACCCUGCCAGCUGCUACUCUGCCAUCUGCUACCCUGCCAGCUGCUACUCUGCCAUCUCCUACCCUGCCUUCUUCUACCCUGCCAUCCACUACCCUGCCAGCUGCUACCCUGCCAUCUUCUACCCUGCCUCUACCCUGCAAGCUGCUACCCUGCUGUUAAACCAGAGUAGCCUAACCGGCAUGAUUAAAGAGGGAAGAGCAGCCUCCAGUACGUACGGAGGAUAAGGUUAAAUUGAGACUAGGCUGCACACGUUCUCUCAUCAUGUGAUCAUAUUUUCACCCAUCACACGGAGACGAGGAUCCGACUUCCUCAAAUCAUAAUCACAGACUCACUCUGUUCCCGCCUAGAAAAUAUUACUCUCUAUAUCUCUCUCUCUCUCACUGUCUCUCUCUGUAUCUCUCUCACUGUCUCUCUCACUGUCUCUCUCUCUCUCACACUCACUCUGUUCCCGCCUAGAAAAUAUUACUCUCUAUAUCUGUCUCUCUCUCACUGUCUCUCUCUGUAUCUCUCUCACUGUCUCUCUCACUGUCUCUCUCUCUCUCACACUCACUCUGUUCCCGCCUAGAAAAUAUUACUCUCUAUAUCUGUCUCUCUCUCUCUGUCUCUCUCUCUGUAUCUCUCUCUAUAUAUCUCAGACACACAGACUCACUCUGUUCCCGCCUAGAAAACAUUACUCUCUAUAUCUCUCUCUCUCACUGUCUCUCUCACUGUAUCUCUCUCUCUCACACUCACUCUGUUCCCGCCUAGAAAAUAUUACUCUCUAUAUCUCUCUCUCUCUCACUGUCUCUCUCUGUAUCUCUCUCACUGUCUCUCUCACUGUCUCUCUCUCUCUCACACUCACUCUGUUCCCGCCUAGAAAAUAUUACUCUCUAUAUCUGUCUCUCUCUCACUGUCUCUCUCUGUAUCUCUCUCACUGUCUCUCUCACUGUCUCUCUCUCUCUCACACUCACUCUGUUCCCGCCUAGAAAAUAUUACUCUCUAUAUCUGUCUCUCUCUCACUGUCUCUCUCUCACUGUCUCUCUCACUGUCUCUCUCUCUCUCUCUCUGUCGCUCACACUUACACUGUUCCUGCCUAGAAAAUAUUACUCUCUCUAUAUCUGUCUCUCUCUCUAUAUCUGUCUCUCUCUCUCUCUCUGUCUCUCUCUCUGUCUCUCACACUCACUCUGUUCCUGCCUAGAAAAUAUUACUCUCUAUAUCUCUCUCUCUCUCUCACUGUCUCUCUCUCUCUGUAUCUCUCUCACUGUCUCUCUCUCUGUCUCUCACACUCAGUCUGUUCCCGCCUAGAAAAUAUUACUCUCUAUAUCUCUCUCUCUCUCUCACUGUCUCUCUCUCUCUCUCUGUAUCUCUCUCACUGUCUCUCUCUCUGUCUCUCACACUCUCUGUUCCCGCCUAGAAAAUAUUACUCUCUAUAUCUCUCUCUCUCUCUCACUGUCUCUCUCUCUCUCUCUGUAUCUCUCUCACUGUCUCUCUCUCUGUCUCUCACACUCACACUGUUCCUGCCUAGAAAAUAUUACUCUCUAUAUAUCUCUCUCUCUCUCUCUCUCUCUCACUGUCUCUCUCACUGUCUCUCUCACUGUCUCUCUCUCUGUAUCUCUCUCUAUAUAUCUCAGACACACAGACUCACAUUGUUCCCGCCUAGAAAACAUUACUCUCUAUAUCUGUCUCUCUCUCACUGUCUCUCUCACUGUCUCUCUCACUGUCUCUCACACUCACACUGUUCCCGCCUAGAAAAUAUUACUCUCUAUAUCUGUCUCUCUCUCACUGUCUCUCUCUCUGUAUCUCUCUCUAUAUAUCUCAGACACACACAGACUCACAUUGUUCCCGCCUAGAAAACAUUACUCUCUCUCUCGGAAGACACACACUGUUAGGGUAAUGAUGAUGUUGAUGUGAGUUAGGGUAAUGUUAGGGUAAUGUUAGGGUAAUGGUUGAUGUGAGUUAGGGUAAUGUUAGGGCAAUGAUGAUGUGAGUUAGGGUAAUGGUUGAUGUGAGUUAGGGUAAUGUUAGGGCAAUGAUAAUGUGAGUUAGGGUAAUGGUGGUAGAAGUCGUAGAGGGGGGAGUAUUGAGAGAUGGUUUAGAGAGGGUAAUGUUAGGGUAAUGGAUGCUGGGUGUUGUGUAGGUCGUUGCUCGGGUCGUUUUUUUGAUCCUCAGGGUUUGGCAAAGGUCAAAGGUUUGCUGCCGCAACAAAGCCAAAGGCAUCAUGGGAAAAUAUCUGACUUGCACUGAAACAGGAAAAAAUGUUGAGGAGAAAAACGUUAUCGUGAACAUUUAUAGUCUCUGAUCAGUUUAAUAUAAACAAAAAGGAACACUUUUCACUUCAUACAAGUUUGUAGCCUAUCGGUCUUUGUUUGAGAGACUGUGUUUGAACUGAACCAGCGUUAUUGAUCACCGGGAGACUGUGUUUGAACUGAACCAGAGUUAUUGAUCACCGGGAGACUGAACCAGCGUUAUUGAUAACCGGGAGACUGUGUUUGAACUGAACCAGAGUUAUUGAUCACCAGGAGACUGAACCAGCGUUAUUGAUCACCGGGAGACUGAACCAGAGUUAUUGAUCACCGGGAGACUGUGUUUGAACUGAACCAGAGUUAUUGAUCACCGGGAGACUGAACCAGCGUUAUUGAUAACCGGGAGACUGUGUUUGAACUGAACCAGAGUUAUUGAUCACCAGGAGACUGUGUUUGAACUGAACCAGAGUUAUUGAUCACCGGGAGACUGAACCAGCGUUAUUGAUAACCGGGAGACUGUGUUUGAACUGAACCAGAGUUAUUGAUCACCGGGAGACUGAACCAGAGUUAUUGAUCACCGGGAGACUGAACCAGAGUUAUUGAUCACCGGGAGACUGUGUUUGAACUGAACCAGCGUUAUUGAUCACCAGGAGACUGUGUUUGAACUGAACCAGAGUUAUUGAUCACCGGGAGACUGUGUUUGAACUGAACCAGAGUUAUUGAUCACCGGGAGACUGUGUUUGAACUGAACCAGAGUUAUUGAUCACCAGGAGACUGAACCAGAGUUAUUGAUCACCGGGAGACUGUGUUUGAACUGAACCAGAGUUAUUGAUCACCGGGAGACUGUGUUUGAACUGAACCAGAGUUAUUGAUCACCGGGAGACUGUGUUUGAACUGAACCAGAGUUAUUGAUCACCAGGAGACUGUGUUUGAACUGAACCAGAGUUAUUGAUCACCAGGAGACUGAACCAGAGUUAUUGAUCACCGGGAGACUGUGUUUGAACUGAACCAGCGUUAUUGAUCACCGGGAGACUGUGUUUGAACUGAACCAGCGUUAUUGAUCACCGGGAGACUGAAGGAGUCACUGUGAGUGCAAUAAGCCCUGUCCACAACACACACAACUUAACUAGUCCACAUUCCCCAACUAACUUAACUAGUCAAUAGUCAAGAGGAAGGGGCUGGGGUCUAACCAGAGGAUUUUCUUUGGAAUAAAUUUGUCUACGUUAAAAGUUGUGUGUGUGUGUGAGCUGUCAUUGUGAAUAGUGUUAUCAGGGACGUCAUUCUGAAAGGACAAUCUCAGAGAUACCUUACGAGGUCAACAAUCAAUAAGUUUUUUUUUUUCUGACUGAAUUCAACCAUGAUAUUAUUCCGAUAUUAGUUAUUUAAAUCCUCCGCAUCCAGUCUGUUGUAGAAAAAAGGACAAAGCAUUCAUCUCCACAGCGGCGUACUUACACGGUGUGGCCACCAAUCAGGAAGGGUGGCGCCCCCCAAAAAAAGGAUCAAUCACGGUGAUUUAUUAAAUCGUUUUCUGUGACUCUGCUGUUUUUUAAUGUGAUGAUUGAUUACUGAAGUCAUGAGUUUAGUAACUGAAAUGGAAAUACGUGAUUACAUUUAUUAUUUUUUUUGGGGGGGGGGGGGUCCAACUAUCGAUAUCCUACAUAUCCAUCGAUCAUCAAUAAUAUCCAUUUAGUUAGUGCAUGACUAAUUUAUUGGAUUAUAAAUAUAUUAUUUCUUUGAGUAAUAAAACACCUGGGGG